RNAcentral lists this unclassified non-coding RNA (416 nucleotides) under Bombus terrestris (buff-tailed bumblebee). Its description in RNAcentral is "misc RNA ENSBTSG00005029198.1". Lineage: Eukaryota; Metazoa; Arthropoda; Insecta; Hymenoptera; Apidae. The record is from RNAcentral.
UUGGUAGGCGUGUUUCUUGCUGAAACCGGCUUGUGCCAAACGGCUCUUCCUUCAACUACGGAUAUAUAACACGUAACUACGUAACGAUUCUAUGACGAGUGGGAGCAGCCGACGAAUCUUGGAUUUCAAGAUACUGGCGAAGAAGCGUUGCCGCAGUCGGGGGACAGGCUGCUGUUUCUAAGUCAGCAUCUCCUCUUCUCUCAAACGCGGCCCUCAAUCUUUCUGCCAGUCUUGGGCUUCCACCGGACAGACGGAACACCGCGGCGCUUUGGAAUCCAUGAGCUUCGAUAUAAUUACACAAUCGGUGUACCACAAAAGGCACACCGGUGUCGAGGUAUGGCUCGAUCGAAUCUAGUCGAGUACCAAAGACCCUCGUAGAUCCUGCGUUACGUCUUAAUAACGAUACUGUCAGAACG